UUAUGAUCUCGUACGUGACCUGCGGAGGGACAUUACACAAAUAUGAAGGCGGGCUGGAACCUCUCGGGGUUACAGCCUUGCUGAAUUAUUCACCCUUGUCUUUUGCGUACUUCUUGUUUCCUUGGUGGGUUCGCCCACCACUAGGACAAACAUAAACCUUUUGUAAUUGCAAUCAGCGUCAGUAACAAAUUAAUAAUUACAACUUUCAACAACGGAUCUCUUGGUUCUGGCAUCGAUGAAGAACGCAGCGAAAUGCGAUAAGUAGUGUGAAUUGCAGAAUUCAGUGAAUCAUCGAAUCUUUGAACGCACAUUGCGCCCUUUGGUAUUCCAAAGGGCAUGCCUGUUCGAGCGUCAUUUGUACCCUCAAGCUUUGCUUGGUGUUGGGCGUCUUGUCUCUAGCUUUGCUGGAGACUCGCCUUAAAGUAAUUGGCAGCCGGCCUACUGGUUUCGGAGCGCAGCACAAGUCGCACUCUCUAUCAGCAAAGGUCUAGCAUCCAUUAAGCCUUUUUUUCAACUUUUGACCUCGGAUCAGGUAGGGAUACCCGCUGAACUUAA
Molecule: ribosomal RNA, 555 nt
Filed under: Alternaria alternata
Lineage: Eukaryota; Fungi; Ascomycota; Dothideomycetes; Pleosporales; Pleosporaceae
Description: eukaryotic LSU rRNA
Rfam family: 5.8S ribosomal RNA (bases 201-354)
Source: RNAcentral